Molecule: ribosomal RNA, 497 nt
Filed under: uncultured bacterium
Lineage: Bacteria
Description: partial 16S ribosomal RNA
Rfam family: Bacterial small subunit ribosomal RNA
Source: RNAcentral
GAUGAACGCUGGCGGCGUGCCUAAUACAUGCAAGUCGAGCGAACGGACGAGAAGCUUGCUUCUCUGAUGUUAGCGGCGGACGGGUGAGUAACACGUGGAUAACCUACCUAUAAGACUGGGAUAACUUCGGGAAACCGGAGCUAAUACCGGAUGAUAUUUUGAACCGCAUGGUUCAAAAGUGAAAGACGGUCUUGCUGUCACUUAUAGAUGGAUCCGCGCUGCAUUAGCUAGUUGGUAAGGUAACGGCUUACCAAGGCAACGAUGCAUAGCCGACCUGAGAGGGUGAUCGGCCACACUGGAACUGAGACACGGUCCAGACUCCUACGGGAGGCGGCAGUAGGGAAUCUUCCGCAAUGGGCGAAAGCCUGACGGAGCAACGCCGCGUGAGUGAUGAAGGUCUUCGGAUCGUAAAACUCUGUUAUUAGGGAAGAACAUAUGUGUAAGUAACUGUGCACAUCUUGACGGUACCUAAUCAGAAAGCCACGGCUAACUACGUG